UGCAUUCAUGGCAACUGGAAAACGGAGAGCCUCUAUAAGAGAGGAUUAACACCCGUAUAAAAAAAUAGACUGAGAGAGCUGGAACCCCAGGAAGUUUGUUGAGUGAUGGCUUCUUUUUCUUCUUUUCUGGUAAGCACAGAGAGAAAAAGGCAAGAUGAAAAAGCAUUGAGAGAUGUUUGGGGAAUUUUAGGUUGUCACCUAGGGGAGUAAGUGAGCCAGAGAACACAGAGAUAUUAGAGAAAACCUAGUCUGUAGAUUGAUUAAAGAAAGGAUGGGAAUGUCGGAUUGUUGAGAUUGGCAGAAAAGGGUAAAGUCUGAUUCUCCGUAUUUCUCCUCUGAUCAUUGUAGGACUUCUGGACAAAUUUUAUUAUUAAACACUGAUGCCAUGAAUGUUUAAAUGUGAAUGAUUGAGCAGAAGAAAUGGUCUAUUUUCAUUGUGUUUUCAUUACAUUGUCUGGCAUUUUGCAUUGCUUUAUUCAUGUUUUAGUUUCUAUUUGAGAAUAUUGCCAUUUUUUUGGCAACCAAAGAAAGUGGGAAC
RNAcentral lists this long non-coding RNA (538 nucleotides) under Carica papaya (papaya). Its description in RNAcentral is "long non-coding RNA (CPAP_LNC010390)". The record is from RNAcentral. Lineage: Eukaryota; Viridiplantae; Streptophyta; Magnoliopsida; Brassicales; Caricaceae.